Molecule: ribosomal RNA, 401 nt
Filed under: uncultured bacterium
Lineage: Bacteria
Description: partial 16S ribosomal RNA
Rfam family: Bacterial small subunit ribosomal RNA
Source: RNAcentral
GAAUAUUGGGCAAUGGGCGAAAGCCUGACCCAGCAACGCCGCGUGAGUGAAGAAGGCCUUCGGGUUGUAAAGCUCUGUUAUAGGGGACGAAGGGAGUGACGGUACCCUAUAAGGAAGCCCCGGCUAACUACGUGCCAGCAGCCGCGGUAAUACGUAGGGGGCGAGCGUUGUCCGGAAUGACUGGGCGUAAAGGGCGUGUAGGCGGUUCUUUAAGUUUGGAGUGAAAGUCCUGUUUUUAAGGUGGGAAUUGCUUUGAAUACUGGAGAACUUGAGUGCGGAAGAGGUAAGUGGAAUUCCCAGUGUAGCGGUGAAAUGCGUAGAGAUUGGGAGGAACACCAGUGGCGAAGGCGACUUACUGGGCCGUAACUGACGCUGAGGCGCGAAAGCGUGGGGAGCGAACA